This is a non-coding RNA of Vicia faba (fava bean), 324 nucleotides long. The record is from the annotation of a GenBank genome assembly. NCBI's taxonomy places the organism in Eukaryota, Viridiplantae, Streptophyta, Magnoliopsida, Fabales, Fabaceae.
CCUAAAUGUCUCUUAGUCUCUCCUAAUUCAAUAUGGUAUCUAGAGCCUUCUAAGAGACAAUUUUUCGCCGUGUUUUACCCGGUUGACCCAGUAUUUUCCGGUGAGAAAUUUUCUUCUACAAACCGUGUCAUUAUUCAGGUUUGCCUCAGUUUUUUAAAAAUUUUUUUUCAGCGACCUCCGCCAAGCACAACCCAUUUCAGGGGACUACUGUUCACCGCCGCCACCACUGUUCAUCGGCGCCGCUACUGUUCACGAAAAAAAAAUUCCGGAAAAUCGCCUUCCUCCUCUGGUUCCAGAUCCGUCCUUGGUUUCCGUUUUCGACUC